RNAcentral lists this long non-coding RNA (521 nucleotides) under Rattus norvegicus (Norway rat). Its description in RNAcentral is "long non-coding RNA NONRATT030912". Lineage: Eukaryota; Metazoa; Chordata; Mammalia; Rodentia; Muridae. The record is from RNAcentral.
AAGUCGCACCCUCCUCCUCCGGAGAAGUAGUGAAAUAGAUUUUUUUCCCAGACGAAAUCAGUCUGUGAGGGAUUGCAGUAUGGUUCCGUUUCCUUGGUGCGUUUGUAAAAUAGUUUACCCAUUGAAGACCAUGAAGAUUCUUUCCAAUGCUACCCUGCUUUUGCUGGUGUCCUGCACCUGGAAGUUGUGAUGCUAAAGGCUCAUCUUAUAUUUUCUACCCCAUUGACCAUUUCUCUAUUUGACUGUGCCACUGGGAGACCGUAUUUACAAACUGAGGUGUGGACUUAUGGAUUUUUUUAAUCUUUCGUUAUUUCACAUUUAAUUUCAAAGUGCAAACGUUUCAUAUUUGUUGAAAUUUGCCUUACGUCUUAAGAGAACAUAAUCACUACUGUGUCUUGUGUGUUUGUAAAGGGUUUAUAUAUUCUAACUGUUCUAUAUAAGGGUCUAUAAAUACCUGCUAAAUGUGCUACCUUGUUGUGUAAAACUUUUAUAUCUGUAGUAAAGUAUAGGACACAUCUUUU